This 253-nucleotide ribosomal RNA is filed under the name uncultured bacterium. Its description in RNAcentral is "partial 16S ribosomal RNA". It matches the Rfam family "Bacterial small subunit ribosomal RNA", at positions 524 to 776 of the family's 1533-position model. The record is from RNAcentral.
UACGGGGGGGGCAAGCGUUGUCCGGAAUUACUGGGCGUAAAGGGCGCGUAGGCGGCCUGCUAAGUCGGACGUGAAAUCCCUCGGCUCAACCGGGGAAGUGCAUUGGAAACUGCAAGUCUUGAGUUCUGGAGAGGAUGGGGGAAUUCCCGGUGUAGAGGUGAAAUUCGUAGAGAUCGGGAGGAAUACCAGUGGCGAAGGCGCCCAUCUGGACAGUAACUGACGCUGAGACGCGAAAGCGUGGGGAGCAAACAGG